This 451-nucleotide ribosomal RNA is filed under the name uncultured bacterium. Its description in RNAcentral is "partial 16S ribosomal RNA". It matches the Rfam family "Bacterial small subunit ribosomal RNA", at positions 354 to 796 of the family's 1533-position model. The record is from RNAcentral.
GUGGGGAAUAUUGUGCAAUGGGGGAAACCCUGACGCAGCGACGCCGUGUGAGGGAAGAAGGCUUUCGGGUCGUAAACCUCUGUCAGAAAGGAAGAACCUCCCAAGUCCGAAUAGGGCUUGGGACUGACGGUACUUUCAAAGGAAGCACCGGCUAACUCCGUGCCAGCAGCCGCGGUAAUACGGAGGGUGCAAGCGUUAAUCGGAAUCACUGGGCGUAAAGCGCGCGUAGGCCGCUUUUUAAGUCGGACGUGAAAGCCCUCGGCUCAACCGGGGAACUGCGUUCGAUACUGGGAGGCUUGAGUCCUGGAGAGGGUGGCGGAAUUCCGGGUGUAGGAGUGAAAUCCGUAGAUAUCCGGAGGAACACCGGUGGCGAAGGCGGCCACCUGGACAGGUACUGACGCUGAGGCGCGAAAGCGUGGGGAGCAAACAGGAUUAGAAACCCGAGUAGUCC